This 72-nucleotide transfer RNA is filed under the name Pseudomonadota bacterium. Its description in RNAcentral is "Proteobacteria bacterium (marine metagenome) tRNA-Thr". It matches the Rfam family "tRNA". Rfam says of the family: Transfer RNA (tRNA) molecules are approximately 80 nucleotides in length. Their secondary structure includes four short double-helical elements and three loops (D, anti-codon, and T loops). Lineage: Bacteria; Pseudomonadati; Pseudomonadota. The record is from RNAcentral.
GCCGAGAUAGCUCAGUGGUAGAGCAGCUGAUUCGUAAUCAGCAGGUCGUCGGUUCGACUCCGAUUCUCGGCU